CAAGAAUUUUGGUUAUUAGCAGCGGAAGAAUUAGCAGCGGAGCAAAUCCGCCGCUACUAAUAGGACUAAUACCGGCGGACUUCUGUUAUUAAAUGUUAUUUAUUUUUUUUUUGUAUAAAAAUGUAUUAGCGGCGGACCCAUGUACUAUUAGCGGCGGGGUUCCGCCGCUAAUACUAAAAUAAAAAAAGUGUGGGAAAUUUCCCACUCAAAUAUUUUCAAAAUUUUUUAGCAGCGGACUUUUUUUGUUAUUAGCGGCGGAAACCCGCCCCUAAUAAUAAGAAAUCUGACAAUUUUAUUAUUAGCGGCGGAAUCCUAUUAUUACCAGCGGAAUAGUCCGCCGCUAAUAAUAUCGUAUAAAAAAAUGCUAUCAGAUUCAUUUUCCUUCAUUUUCCUUUCCUUCUAAUUUCUUUCUCUUCUCUCUCAAAAAUUUCUUCUCUACACCCACCUUCCUCAGCCCUUCCCCGCCUCCCUCCGCCCACCCUAAACCCCUCUGCCGGAGCAACACCACCACCCUUAACGAUCUACCAGUGCAAGUUUUUUUAACAGUCUCUACUAUCUCAACCACUAUUGGCCGAAACCAAAAGUGCACAACCGAUGCAUAUUUUUUAGUAGGAGUAACAUUUUUAUCUACUCCAAUACACCCAGAGUUUUGAGAUUAGUUUGGGGACCUCGAUCUUCUCUGUCGACCACAACAAUCACAAUUAACCUUAUAUUUUUUUUGGAGUGAUUAUAAACGAGACUAGUGAUUAACUUUUGUAUUUUUGUUAUAUUAAGACAUUGUAAUUAUUUACUUAGAGAAUAUUGUAUUAACUAAUUUGUGUAAUGGCUAUUAUCAUUCAAUAUUAAACUUAAUUUUAAUUUACGUUUA
Cannabis sativa is the source of this 868-nucleotide long non-coding RNA. RefSeq lists it as uncharacterized. The transcript has 3 exons. The record is from RefSeq and is a predicted model, not a curated record. Lineage: Eukaryota; Viridiplantae; Streptophyta; Magnoliopsida; Rosales; Cannabaceae.